Molecule: unclassified non-coding RNA, 5129 nt
Filed under: Hevea brasiliensis (rubber tree)
Lineage: Eukaryota; Viridiplantae; Streptophyta; Magnoliopsida; Malpighiales; Euphorbiaceae
Source: RNAcentral
AGAGAGAGAGAGAGAGAGAAAUACCUGGUUAGGCAUUGGGUCUUGUCCAAAUUGCUGCUGGCGUGAAAUAAAGACAACAGGGCCUAGGUUUUUUCCCCCCCUUUUUUUUGCUAUUUUAAAAGAAAAAAUAGAAAAGGGAAAAGUUAAUGUUAUUUUACAGAGGCAAUGCCUUUCUUGCCCCUUGCCUCUUGCCUUGAAGUCCCUGUCUCUUGCGUCUUGCUAUGCCAACUCGCCUCAGCCAGGAGAGGCAAGGGCUCACCUCUCCUGGCGCUUCAACUCUCCUUUAGCAACACUAGGUUUACUCCUAUAUUUGAUUUUGGGAUUAAUUUUUAGUUAAGUUGUGUAGUUCUACAUCCAAAAUGUGUAACCUGUAACACUUGUAGUAUAAAUGGUUGCAAACUUGCAAUAUAACAUGAUAAAAUUGAAGAUGCUGACUAGUGGACCCUACUUUGCUCCUUUCUGUUGCAGAAUAUAUGUUUGACUGCUGCUAAUUUUGUGAUUACUUCCUCUGUUUCUUUCCCCAAUUAUACAAACUGAUAUUUAUUUAAUUUUUUGCAAACUAAAUUUUCUUGAUUGCAGGGCCAAAACCUUCUGAGUUGUAUGGAAAAUACACAUGGAAAAUAGAAAAAUUUUCACAGAUUAACAAAAGAGAACUUCGUAGUGAUGAAUUUGAGGUUGGCGGCUACAAAUGGUACAUAUUAAUAUAUCCCCAAGGUUGUGAUGUUUGCAAUCAUCUCUCUUUGUUUCUUUGUGUUGCCAACCAUGACAAACUUCUUCCAGGUUGGAGUCAUUUUGCACAGUUUACAAUAGCUGUGGUUAAUAAAGAUCCAAAAAAAUCAAAAUAUUCAGAUACAUUACACCGGUUCUGGAAGAAAGAGCAUGAUUGGGGAUGGAAAAAAUUCAUGGAAUUAUCGAAAGUGUCAGAUGGGUUUUUAGAUGCUACUGACACUCUAAUUAUAAAGGCUCAAGUGCAAGUCAUCAGGGAGAAAUCAGAUCGGCCUUUUCGUUGCCUUGAUUGUGAGUAUAGAAGAGAACUUGUUAGGGUGUAUUUGACAAAUGUAGAGCAGAUUUGUCGACGUUUUGUGGAAGAGAGACGAGGCAAGCUUGGGAGGUUAAUAGAAGACAAAAAUAGAUGGUCAAGCUUUUGUGCUUUCUGGUUGGGAAUGGAUCAAAAUGCUCGGCGACGGAUGUCUAGGGAGAGAACUGAUGUGAUUCUGAAAGUAGUUGUGAAGCAUUUCUUUAUAGAGAAGGAAGUCACAUCAACUUUGGUAAUGGAUUCCUUGUAUAGUGGAUUGAAGGCUCUUGAAGGCCAAACUAAGAACAAGAAAGGGAGGGCGAAAUUGAUGGACACUGAAGAAAUGCUAGCUCCAAUUGUUCGUGUGGAGAAAGAAAUGUUCGUAUUGGUGGAUGAUGUCCUGCUACUACUUGAGAGAGCUGCCAUGGAACCACUGCCUCCAAAAGAUGAAAAGGGCCCACAGAAUCGUACAAAGGAUGGAAAUUCUGGUGAGGACUUCAACAAGGAUUCCAUUGAGCGUGAUGAAAGACGGCUUACAGAAUUGGGUCGCAGGACAGUGGAAACAUUUGUCCUUGCUCAUAUUUUCAAGUAAUAUAUCUGAUAUUCUGACUAUUUUCAAAAUCUCUCAUAUUAUUACAUGCUAGUGGAGCAGUUGCUUAUGUGGCUCAAGACCAUUUAUCGUGCCAUGUUUCAGAUGCCCACUCUCAUUUAAUUAUUCAUUUUGGAAGUUUUCUGCGGUUUCUGAAAGUUCUUCCUUUUCAACAAGGCUAACCUUCAGGCUAAUAUUAUCAUAUUUUGUAAUUGUUAUAUUUUACUUGCAUUAUCAUUACAUUGAUACUGAAUAACUAGUACUUGCUAAUUAUGAAGAGUUUGAAUGGCAUUGAAAAAAUGUGAGUGAAAUGGUUUAUCAGUUAUUUAGAACCUUUGUUAAAUGUGUGGCAUUCUAUUUUCUGUGGAGCCUUUGUUAAAUGCUUUAUUUCUAAAGAGGUGGUUUGGUACUUUUUGUAGUGGAAUUUCAGUCAUUAAGAAUGAACUAUCAUGAUUAGUGUAAUGGUGGCUUUAAGUUUUGAAAGAAUUUCAUGUCGGUAGUGGUGAUUUUUUGCUUUGAAUAUGGAGUGAUGGACUCAUCUUGAGGAUAGGUAUUCGGUAAAUUCCUAUAUUGCUAAUGGAUUCUUUUUGGAGAUGUGUAUCUUACAAUAGAGAGGGUAAUAUUCUCUCUUCACGUGGCAAAUAGGAGACAACUAGUUGUGUCAAUUUAACUUCUUAAGUUAGUAUGUUCUUUGACAAUUGGUUCUGUUGUGAAAGUUUGAUGGUAUAUUUAUUGUAGAACUUCAUUAAUAUCUGAUUUCCAUCUUUUUGCUUUUUUUCUUUAGUUAUACUUUCCUAAUGAGUUAUAUGUGCAGGAUGUAGUUAGUUGAUAGUUGUGAUACAUCAUACAUCAAUGAUAUUUAUAAUUUUAUUACAUGAACGAGCUAUUAUUAUAGGAUUAUGGUGUCACAAUAUUUUAUGUGCUUUGUGGUUAGAUGAUUAUAGACUAAUCGCUCAGCUUUAUGCGUGCAUGUCCUAAGUUUGUCCCCUUUACAUGUAGCCACAAAGUUGAAGUUGCUUACCAGGAAGCUGUUGCUUUGAAGAGGCAGGAAGAGCUAAUCCGUGAAGAAGAGGCAGCAUGGCUAGCUGAAAGUGAGCAGAAAUCUAAACGUGGAGGAACUGAGAAGGAAAAGAAAUCAAAGAAAAAGCAGGCAAAACAAAAACGGAAUAAUCGUAAAGGGAAGGACAAAGGGAGGGAUGAAAAAUCCAGUGCAGCAGUAUUAGACAAGCAUCAAGAGGAAAAUCUAAGUAGUGAGAAAAAGGAUUCAAUUAUCGUAGUAGAGGUGCAGCCUGUGGUGGAAAAGCCUGAUAUUCUGGAAGAUGUGUCUGAUGUGUCUGACUCAGUGGAUGGUGUUGCUGAAGUGCUCCAGCCCGAUUCAGAAGACAGAGAUGCAAGUCCUGUUAAUUGGGAUACUGAUACUUCAGAAGUUCAUCCUUCUACAGAAGCCUGCAGCAGUGGAGUUAGUGGAUUAUCAUCUAUACCAAAUGGAACAGCUGAGAAAAGGAGCACAAAUGCAAUGGAUGACAGUUCAUCAACUUGCUCUACAGAUUCAGUCCCAUCAGUUGUUAAUAAUGGCUCUUAUAAGGGGAGCUCUUAUUCAAGCUACCAAUUUGUAAAAUCACCUAGCAGAGAGAAGCACCCUCGAGGUAAGGGGACAAGCGAUUUGAGUUGGACAACUGAGAUGGAUAAUCACCUUUCUGCACCUCCAGUGGAUGCUGGGGAUCUCAAUGAGGUUACUGGAAUUAGCAAAUCUGUUGAAUGCGAGCCCGAAGCUAUUGUUCAUGUCUCACAAGAUAGAAUAACAUGGACCGAGCAGCCUGUAGUUAAGAAGGUUGUGGAAGAAGUUUUACCGCAAAAGAAACUCGGCACUAAAGACUUGGUUGAUGUGGAAAGGUCCUCCAAAGAAACAGCAAUGACUAUCCCAUCCUCUUGUAGAAGCCCUCCAAGAAGUCCUCCCAAAAAUCUCCAAUCCACCGUUCUAUUGAAGUCGGGAAACAAGAGUUCAGCUGCCAUAGAUCCUUCUGUUCAGAGUAAGAAAGCAUCUUCAAAUUGUGCUCAGCACGCUGAUAAAGCAUCCCCUUCAAUUAUAUGCCCGCAAAGUAUAUGCAUGUCCAAACCUGAGACCCAGAAGGCCUCAACUUCAAAACUAUCUGAGAAGCCAAUGCUACAGCAUGUGCCUGUGAUGUCAAGGCCCUCUAGUGCUCCUCUAAUUCCUGGUCCUCGGCCAGCUGCUCCUGUGGUUUCCAUGGUUCAAAAACCCCCAUUACUUGCACGUUCUGUUAGUGCAACUGGUCGGCUUGGUCCUGAUACUUCACCUGCAAGUCCUAGUUAUGCUCCUUUGUCCUAUCGAAAUGCCAUUGUAGGCAAUCCUGUUGGCUCAAGUUCAGGUGGCUUCACUCAUGCCAACUCUCCCAGUUUGGGAGUUAACCUGCCUUCAGCACACACACAACAGCCUGCUUUGGUAUCUACAUCGAUGUUUUUGCACCCGAGCUCUGAUAGGGUAGAUCUGACCUCUGUUCAAUCUCAUUUUCCUUUUGGGAUGGUAACUCCGGAUGUCUUACGGAAUGGACCCCAGCAGAUGGAGAGCUCACAAGGUGUAGUAACAGAUGAGUUCCCACAUAUUGAUAUCAUCAACGAGCUGCUUGAUGAUGAACAUGGUGUUGGGAAGGCAGCUGAGGCAAGCAGCUUCUUCCAGUCUCUUAACAAUGGGCCACACUUCUUAAAUCGGCAAUGUUCUUUUCCGGGUGAUAUGGGAAUAUCAGGUGAAUCAGUUUCCCCGAGCAGCAGUUCUUGCAGAUUUGAGCGUGCUAGGAGUUAUCGUGAUAGUGGGUUUCAGCGGAGUUAUGGCUCUUUUGGCACCCAUUUUGACAUGCCGAGGGAAUUUAUUGCCCGGACAAGUCCAUUACCAUAUGCAAAUGGGCAUGUUGAUGGAUUGAUUCCAAGCCAAUGGCAGGUGGCUGGCUCUGAUCUUUCUCUAGUAGGCAUGAGGAACGCAGAGGGUGAUGGUUCUCCAUAUUUCAGUCCAGAGUAUCCAAAUUUGGCUUGCGGUAGCAAUGGGUACACUGUAUUUAGGCCUUCAAAUGGGCAUUGAAGGAGCUUCCAGUCGAAAUUACCCUGCAAAUUUGUAGGUCAUUGUCCAUUGUAAUAAUGUAUUUGGGGAAAUUGUUGGGUCGUAGAAUUGGAGUGGGGUUGUAAUCUUUUUCAUAAGCUUAACAUUUUGUAGAGUGUUGCUGCCUUUCAUUGCCUACAGCAUUUUAGUUUGAAUUGAUGAGGCUUUCAUGUAUUUUUCUCAUCUGGGGCUUGGUUAGAUGUUUUGAAAUGGCUGAAUGAUGAAAUUCAACCCAAGUCGGGUACUGAAAAGUACGGCUGCUCGACCAUCCAUUGAGAAGCCAAUAGCAUAGGGUUGAGGCUCAUGUAAAGAUGAAAUAGUUCAUCAAAGCUUGGUUUCUUUUGUAUCUGCUGGUAUGUGUUAAAAUUUAUCAUUUCUUCCAGCAGGCAGACGUCUUGAGUUUUUCUACGUGGCAG